Molecule: small RNA, 2857 nt
Filed under: Rattus norvegicus (Norway rat)
Lineage: Eukaryota; Metazoa; Chordata; Mammalia; Rodentia; Muridae
Description: uncharacterized LOC102547840
Source: RNAcentral
AUGUGUCCGUGUAUGUGUGUGUACACAUGUGUGCACAUGCCUAUGUCUAUCCUGUGUAUUCGUGUGUGAGAAUGUGCACAUUUGAGUGUGGUGCUCUAGGAGACAGAAGGAGAUAUCAGCAGGUCCCCUAGUGGCGGGCUUACAGGGGUCUGUGGGUGCGGGGAUUUGAGUCCAGGCUGUCUUCAAGAACAGCAAGUCUAUUUAACCUCCGAUUCAUCUCUCCAAUGCACGUGGAAGAUCUCUGAGCCCUCCGCUUGCGGGCGUCUUGCAGACGGAGUUGAAGAGCGUACCUUGGUGAGUACCUAACUCCAGUGCUCAGGACGAGGGACAUCAGAUCUCACUCUGCGCUCUGAACUGGGACUUCCUCAGCUUCAUGGCCUCCUCUCAUUUAUGUCUCUUGAGCCCCAAUGGCCCGGUCUGUGAAAUGGAGAUAAAAAACACGCCUCUCAGGGUGCCGUCAGCACCCCAGAUAAUAGCACACUGCACAUGUAGUGUUCAGUGAUGUGGGGCUGCUCCUCUUAUCUCAGCACACAGACGAGAGACUAACACUAAAAGGACACGUUCCGUCUGGUUAGAGACAAGCCCUCUUCUACCCAGGACAAGACAGAGGAAAGAUGUGAGCGUGAGCUCCAGAGUCAUGGCAGCAGAUGUUGGUGGUAGUAAUUGUGACAGUGCCAAUGUGGGCACAGGUUCCCUUGUGACACUUCAUCUCCCAUCUUCAAUAUGAGAGAAGCUGCUGGUGUUUGGCUUACAGAUGCUUCCUCCGAACAUUACGCACUUCGCUGGGUGUUGGACACAUGAAGGUAAGCUGAGACAUGUCUACCGGGUCAGUCCGGGGGGUUUCCUGACUCGGUUUCCCCUUUGCGCUCCAGGCUCCACACGGACGUCAAGAACACUCCUUCGAUUCCCACCCCGUGACCUUCUGUUCCUCUAGCUUGGCUCGCACUCUGCAAUGGUGCAGCAGAAUGUCUUAGUUCAUCACACUUCCCUCUGCAUCCCUUUCUGUUCUCCUUGUCCUCACCCAGAAGCCUGUUCAAGGUCAUUCACGCUGAGAUGAUACGAGACGAUGAUCUUUGAAAGCGGUGAGCAAACCCUUGGCUUAGCAGUCCUUUAGUUUAACAGCGGUAAAACAGAACUUAAGUGCCCAUGAGAAGCUCCAGUGUCAAACAGGCUGUUUUAGGGGCGACUGCUGGGAGGAGCCCCCAUAGAGCCUCAAAUGACAAAUGGGUUUGAUUUGCAUUUGCUUUCUGGGUCAGUACACAGAUGGCUUCCUCCUUCUCCACUCUGCCCACUGUAUCCUUACUUGGCACAGCUGUGUCCUGUAGCCCAGUGACAGGAUGUAGGGGCACAAGAGGGUUUGGACACUCAGGAACAACUCUCUGAAAAGUAUGACCUCGGGACGAGAAUUGCUGGUGCAUUUUCAAGGUAGGGCAGCAAAUAAAAUACGGAGUUGGAAACAGAGAGGUCUCCAGAAAGGGCUGUGGGUUUCUAGGUGUCACCUGAAAACAGAGGUGGCCAGAGGAAGCAUCCAGGGUCCAGACUCCUAGAAUAAUUCUCACCAGGUAGGACUAGGAUGAGUUCCCAAACUCUGAUAUGAUGGAAGGGGCGUGCGCAUGUAUGGGGCAGACUCCAUGUUGCGUGCAUACAUUACAAGCCUACUGUGCAAAGAGCACUGGGAAAGGCCGUAGAGCAGGCAAGGUUACUAGACACUGAUGUUGGGCAUAUUUUGGCAAAAAAUUAAAAACAAAAAGAUGGUCCUGUUCUUCAAGGUCCUUGUGGAUUAGCUGAGUCUUGGAACAGAGGUAGAUCCAGCAAAGAGCUGCAAGUGUUGUCUACAGAAUGCCUUGUGGGCAACAAGACUCUACAGCACUGGCCAAAACGCCAGAAUGGCCAGCAUAGGUACUGUCCAAGAAAGAGUUCAGCAACUUCCCAGGUUCUGCAGGUAGGAAAGCAGACCCUAGUGGAGGGGUCCCUCAGCACUUCUAAAGCAAGAGUGAACACAGCUCGGAGGUCAUCCCACCCCAGUUUCCCUAGGAAGGAAAGGAAAAGGCCAUGGACAUGACACCCAUCUUCUGUGUUAGAGGAGGAAAUCCUGUUGCGGAAUUUACAGAGCAAUUACCCUGCAAAGCCACAGAAAAACAGAUGACCUGACAACCUAGAAAUCAUGUAAUUUAUCCAAUUAAACAUUUUUACACCACUGUAACCAUGCAGGUUCACGUAUUAGUAACCCGGAAGGUCUCCGUUCUAGACACUUGGAAUUUUUCAGCUUUCUGCUCAAAUGCAUCUGUCUGUCUGUAAUUAUAUCAUCAUCUGAGGCACGGUUGUGUAGGGUUUCAUUUAACUCUGCAUUUUUCGUUCUGUGGCCCAUAUGCCGCCCAGGGCGUGAGCAAGGUGUUUGGAAGCACACUGCCUUCAGUGAAGCCUUCUUUUACUCUUUCAUUGUGUUACUCUCACUCUGGAAAGCCCUGUGCAAGUCCUCUUGGCCAUGAAGACUUCCUCAGACACAGGACACAGUGGCUUCAUGUUGCAUACCUCGCCAUGGCUGUGUAUUACUUCAGCUUUCAUCUAGUAGUGUGGUGGUUUGAAUAUGCUUGACCCCUGGGAAGUGGCACUAUCGGAAGGUGUGGCCUUGUUGGAAGAAGUACGUCACUACGUAGGUGGGCUUUGAGGCUAGCGCUCAAGCUCCGCCCUGUGCAGAAGAGAGAGUCUCCCUCUGCCUGCCUUCGGAACAAGAUGUCAGUCUAUCAGCUCCUUCUCCAGCACCGUGUCUGUCUGGAUGCCGCCAUGCUUCCCACCGUGGUGAUAAUCGAGUGAACCCCUGGAACUGUAAGCCAGCCCCAACUAAAUGUUGUCCUUU